UUUGUUUUAAAUGCUAGAAAUUAUAUAAAACAUUAAUUCUUGAAAAUUUAAAUUGACUAAUUUUGUUUUAUGAGAAUAACUUUAAAAGCUCACUUUUUAAAAUUUUGAUCAAUGAACCUCGAUGAAUUGAAUAUUAUAAAAUAAAACUUGUAAUUGAGGAAUAUUAUCACUUAAUAUACCAAAAAAAAAUUCAAAUCUAUAUAUACCUUUACCCGCAAAUAAACUCGAUAGCUCAAUCAUGUUUUCAAUUAUCUAUCUAACAUCAUAGGCAACUAAAUAUAAGAAUCAACUCCAACAAGAAAAAAAAAAAGAGGCAUCUAUGAUAAGAUUAGUUAAGAUUCCACUUUGAAAUUUUUAGAAUAAAUAUGGAAUAGCUAGAAUUAGGCCUCUCAUUUGAAAUUAUAUAAUUUAAUUAAUAUAAUUUACAAAUUGAUAUAAUAUAUUUCUAUGAUACACGUGCAUCGCACGUGCAUUUUGCUAGUAUAUAAAAAGUGGAGAUCUCAGAUGUUAAUGGAAAAUUGUGCAUGUGAGGCUGAAUCAUCUAUCUUUCUCAAAAUUAAAAUUGUAUUCAAAAGCAAUAAAUAAUGCUCACUUUUCAAGGGCUUUUCUACCUUAGAAUUAAGAAAAGAGAUUGGGAAUCUUAGUAUUAAAUGUGGAUGAAAAGAGAUUGGGAAUCUUAGUAUCAAAGGUAGAUUUCACUCUUUACAUUGUGGAAAGUGAUUCAUGGUCCUUCUAUAAAAGCAAUAUAGACCAUAAAAAUCAAUUAAG
This 768-nucleotide long non-coding RNA is filed under the name Amborella trichopoda. RNAcentral's name for it is "long non-coding RNA (ATRI_LNC001603)". Lineage: Eukaryota; Viridiplantae; Streptophyta; Magnoliopsida; Amborellales; Amborellaceae. The record is from RNAcentral.